CGUUCCCUCUGGCGGUAGGCCUAACACAUGCAAGUCGAACGGCAGCACAGUAAGAGCUUGCUCUUACGGGUGGCGAGUGGCGGACGGGUGAGGAAUACAUCGGAAUCUACUUUUUCGUGGGGGAUAACGUAGGGAAAAUUACGCUAAUACAGCAUACGUCCUACGGGUGAAAGCAGGGGAUCUUCGUACCUUGCGCUAUUGAAUGAGCCGAUGUCGGAUUAGCUAGUUGGCGGGGUAAAGGCCCACCAAGGCGACGAUCCGUAGCUGGUCUGAGAGGAUGAUCAGCCACACUGGAACUGAGACACGGUCCAGACUCCUACGGGAGGCAGCAGUGGGGAAUAUUGGACAAUGGGCGCAAGCCUGAUCCAGCCAUACCGCGUGGGUGAAGAAGGCCUUCGGGUUGUAAAGCCCUUUUGUUGGGAAAGAAAAUCAGCAGGUUAAUACCCCGCUGUUCUGACGGUACCCAAAGAAUAAGCACCGGCUAACUUCGUG
Molecule: ribosomal RNA, 492 nt
Filed under: uncultured bacterium
Lineage: Bacteria
Description: partial 16S ribosomal RNA
Rfam family: Bacterial small subunit ribosomal RNA
Source: RNAcentral